GGGUCGUUAGCUCAGUUGGUAGAGCAGUUGACUUUUAAUCAAUUGGUCGCAAACGGAGCCGCUUGCGGCGACGGCCCG
Molecule: transfer RNA, 78 nt
Filed under: Salmonella enterica subsp. enterica serovar Typhimurium
Lineage: Bacteria; Pseudomonadati; Pseudomonadota; Gammaproteobacteria; Enterobacterales; Enterobacteriaceae
Description: tRNA-Lys
Rfam family: tRNA
About the family: Transfer RNA (tRNA) molecules are approximately 80 nucleotides in length.
Source: RNAcentral